This 67-nucleotide transfer RNA is filed under the name Carabus lafossei. RNAcentral's name for it is "tRNA-Cys". The record is from RNAcentral. Lineage: Eukaryota; Metazoa; Arthropoda; Insecta; Coleoptera; Carabidae.
GGUUCUAUAGUUUACUUAUAUAAAAUAUUAAAUUGCAAAUUUAAAGAAAAAAAAAUUUUUAGAACUU